UACAGAGGUGGCAAGCGUUGUUCGGAAUUACUGGGCGUAAAGGGCGCGUAGGCGGCUUGGUCAGUCCCGUGUGAAAUCCCUCGGCUCAACUGAGGAACUGCACGGGAAACUGCCUGGCUUGAGUUUGGGAGAGGGAUGCGGAAUUCCAGGUGUAGCGGUGAAAUGCGUAGAUAUCUGGAGGAACACCGGUGGCGAAGGCGGCAGCCUGGACCAAUACUGACGCUGAGGAGCGAAAGCCAGGGGAGCAAACGGG
RNAcentral lists this ribosomal RNA (253 nucleotides) under uncultured bacterium. RNAcentral's name for it is "partial 16S ribosomal RNA". It matches the Rfam family "Bacterial small subunit ribosomal RNA", at positions 524 to 776 of the family's 1533-position model. The record is from RNAcentral.